GCCAGCGUGAUGUAGUGGUUUGGGCAUUAGACUAUGACUCUAGAGACCAGGGUUCAAUUCUUUGUUCGGCCA
Molecule: non-coding RNA, 72 nt
Organism: Phrynosoma platyrhinos (Desert horned lizard)
Lineage: Eukaryota; Metazoa; Chordata; Lepidosauria; Squamata; Phrynosomatidae
Source: the annotation of a GenBank genome assembly